GAUGAGCGCUGGCGGCGUGCCUAAUACAUGCAAGUCGAGCGAACGGACGAGAAGCUUGCUUCUCUGAUGUCAGCGGCGGACGGGUGAGUAACACGUGGAUAACCUACCUAUAAGACUGGGAUAACUUCGGGAAACCGUAGCUAAUACCGGAUAAUAUUUUGAACCGCAUGGUUCAAAAGUGAAAGACGGUCUUGCUGUCACUUAUAGAUGGAUCCGCGCUGCAUUAGCUAGUUGGUAAGGUAACGGCUUACCAAGGCAACGAUGCAUAGCCGACCUGAGAGGGUGAUCGGCCACACUGGAACUGAGACACGGUCCAGACUCCUACGGGAGGCAGCAGUAGGGAAUCUUCCGCAAUGGGUGAAAGCCUGACGGAGCAACGCCGCGUGAGUGAUGAAGGUCUUCGGAUCGUAAAACUCUGUUAUUAGGGAAGAACAUAUGUGUAAGUAACUGUGCACAUCUUGACGGUACCUAAUCAGAAAGCCACGGCUAACUACGUG
Molecule: ribosomal RNA, 497 nt
Filed under: uncultured bacterium
Lineage: Bacteria
Description: partial 16S ribosomal RNA
Rfam family: Bacterial small subunit ribosomal RNA
Source: RNAcentral